This 420-nucleotide ribosomal RNA is filed under the name uncultured archaeon. RNAcentral describes it as "bacterial SSU rRNA". It matches the Rfam family "Archaeal small subunit ribosomal RNA", at positions 467 to 887 of the family's 1478-position model. The record is from RNAcentral.
GCGGUAAUACCAGCUCUCCGAGUGGUGGGGAUGAUUAUUGGGCUUAAAGCGUCCGUAGCCGGCUUAGCAAGUCUUCCGUUAAAUCCACCGAUUCAAUCGUUGGACUGCGGGAGAUACUGUUGGGCUAGGGGGCGGGAGAGGUCGACGGUAUUCUCGGGGUAGGGGUAAAAUCCUAUAAUCCCGGGAGGACCACCAGUGGCGAAGGCGGUCGGCUAGAACGCGCUCGACGGUGAGGGACGAAAGCUGGGGGAGCGAACCGGAUUAGAUACCCGGGUAGUCCCAGCUGUAAACGAUGCGGGCUAGGUGUUGGGGCGGCUACGAGCCGCUUCAGUGCCGCAGGGAAGCCAUUAAGCCCGCCGCCUGGGGAGUACGGCCGCAAGGCUGAAACUUAAAGGAAUUGGCGGGGGAGCACAACAAGGC